CAGGUAUAACAGACAGACAGGUAUAACAGACAGACAGGUAUAACAGACAGACAGGUAUAACAGACAGACAGGUAUAACAGACAGACAGGUAUAACAGACAGACAGGUAUAACAGACAGACAGGUAUAACAGACAGACAGGUAUAAAGACAGACAGACAGGUAUAACAGACAGACAGGUAUAACAGACAGACAGGUAUAACAGACAGACAGGUAUAACAGACAGACAGGUAUAACAGACAGACAGGUAUAACAGACAGACAGGUAUAAAGACAGACAGGUAUAACAGACAGACAGGUAUAACAGACAGACAGGUAUAACAGACAGACAGGUAUAACAGACAGACAGGUAUAACAGACAGACAGGUAUAACAGACAGAUGUACCUGUUUGCUGUAGGUUUCAUCAAACAGACAGUUCAUGAUGUCUUCAGCCAGUUUGGCCUCAUCAGGGUCAGCAGCCCGGCCCACCCAGGUAUAGACUAUCCCCUGGUUGUCUGUACUCUCAAAGGGC
RNAcentral lists this long non-coding RNA (508 nucleotides) under Salmo salar (Atlantic salmon). Its description in RNAcentral is "lncRNA (ENSSSAG00000103908.1)". Lineage: Eukaryota; Metazoa; Chordata; Actinopteri; Salmoniformes; Salmonidae. The record is from RNAcentral.